UGGACGCUUUGUGUUUCAGUCCCUGCUGCUCAGGGUAACAACGGCCUUCAGUGCUUCAGCUGUGACCCCACCACCUCCAUCUCCAACUGCACCACACCACUACAAUGCCGUGGAGUGGAGGACAGCUGCCUUCAAACAACAUUGACUAUCGGGUCCUCCACUGUUCCAGCCUUUGGUUGUGCAUCGUCAAACCUGUGUGCAGUUGCUUCCAGUCUGGGUAGUUUACCGUUCAUCCAGAGUCUUGGUGCCAUCAGCAGUACAGUGGAAUGCUGUGGGACCAGUUUGUGUAAUGCACCACAAACAAUUACUGCUCCUACAACAACAACAACAACAACAACAACAACAACAACAACCGCUGCCAAAAAGAAUCGUUUGGCUGUCACUGCCAUAAUUUCGUGGUGGAUACCAGGGAAAAAAAGUUAGUGAGAGCAGAUGGACUAUAGGCAACACUAAGGUGGAAUCUCAAUCUAAAAGAGAUACAUGAACAAACUAAAAGAGGUGAAACAAUCUUUAACAUUACUAGCUACGUGUUCCUUGUAUAUUUAUAUACUUUGUCAAAACAUGAUCCUAGAGCAGAGGUAUUCAACUGAAAUUAAAAGAGGCAAAAGUGCAGAUGAUUAUAAUGUCCACCUAUUUACUGCGAUAUAUUAUGUAGUAACCUACGUGUAAUAAAUACUACACUGUCAAAUCA
RNAcentral lists this long non-coding RNA (691 nucleotides) under Betta splendens (Siamese fighting fish). Its description in RNAcentral is "lncRNA (ENSBSLG00000018035.1)". Lineage: Eukaryota; Metazoa; Chordata; Actinopteri; Anabantiformes; Osphronemidae. The record is from RNAcentral.